GCGUGGGUAGCCAAGCCAGGCCAACGGCGCAGCGUUGAGGGCGCUGUCCCGUAGGGGUCCGCCGGUUCGAAUCCGGUCCCACGCACUA
Molecule: transfer RNA, 88 nt
Filed under: Halorhabdus tiamatea SARL4B
Lineage: Archaea; Methanobacteriati; Methanobacteriota; Halobacteria; Halobacteriales; Haloarculaceae
Description: tRNA-Leu
Source: RNAcentral